UGGGCUAUGGUGUAAUGGUAGCACAAGACAUUUUGGUCGUCUUUGUUCUGGUUCGAAACCGGAUAGCCCAACCA
RNAcentral lists this transfer RNA (74 nucleotides) under Bacteroidaceae bacterium. RNAcentral describes it as "tRNA-Gln". It matches the Rfam family "tRNA". Rfam says of the family: Transfer RNA (tRNA) molecules are approximately 80 nucleotides in length. Their secondary structure includes four short double-helical elements and three loops (D, anti-codon, and T loops). The record is from RNAcentral. Lineage: Bacteria; Pseudomonadati; Bacteroidota; Bacteroidia; Bacteroidales; Bacteroidaceae.